This is a long non-coding RNA of Salarias fasciatus (jewelled blenny), 112 nucleotides long. RefSeq lists it as uncharacterized. NCBI's taxonomy places the organism in Eukaryota, Metazoa, Chordata, Actinopteri, Blenniiformes, Blenniidae. The record is from RefSeq and is a predicted model, not a curated record. The transcript is spliced from 3 exons.
AAUCAUAACAGACAGAGUUAGUCGGAAUGAUGUCGCUCAUCAGUUUAACUGCUCAGUGGAUCAGGAGGAUUUUACUCAGUCGUGCUACAUGCUAAACAUGGUGAAAAUAUGA